Long non-coding RNA from Ictalurus punctatus (channel catfish), 2563 nucleotides. RefSeq lists it as uncharacterized. Lineage: Eukaryota; Metazoa; Chordata; Actinopteri; Siluriformes; Ictaluridae. The record is from RefSeq and is a predicted model, not a curated record. The transcript has 2 exons.
AAAACAUUCCUGAAACCUGAUUUUCUGCUACUGAACAAUGCUAAUUGUUGACCAUUUACACAGCGGUGUCCUCACAUGGAUGUGAUUCAAAAGGACAUCGUCGUCCUCUGACCUGGAGGCUUUACUGAGCUCUUUACGGUCCAUAAAACCACAGAAUCUGAGCAUCACUCUGAAUUCCAGUUAUUCCAGUAUGGAGAGUUAUAGUGGUUCCUUCCACUUCCUGCAGUGUGACCGUCUCGUCUCCAGCUGCACACAGUAAACCUGCAGCACAGCUUCAGCUUCAGAUUAAUCAUUUCACUCACAAUCAUAAUCACACACAGUCCAUUAAAUCUAUACCGUCCUGAUUUCAACUUCAAAAUGCAGAAAUAUUACAUUUCAGGGAAUCUGAUACAUUCUGCAGCAAAUAUAUUGUUACAUAUUGGAAGUUAUUAUUAUUAUUAUUAUUAUUAUUAUUAUUAUUAUAUAUUACUACAGUGCUGCAUCUAUUACUAGAAAUGUUACUAGUCCCUCCAGGAUUUAGCAGUUUUGCAAUCGCAGAAAUUAAUGAAAAAUCAAGCAAACCCCGCAACACGAGUUUGCUAUUUUUCAAAAUUACCGCAGAUUUGGGCCGAGACGUGUCAUGUGACAUCAUCACAGCGUGCAUUCAGUCAAAUCCCUCUUGGAUUCAUGUGCGUCGAACACGAGUACAGUUAAAAGUUCUCAUUUACCAACAAACAUCACUAGGAAAGUGGCACAAAGCUAUUUCGUGCGAUUGAAAUUUCGCCAAUUCAAAAAAAACACAAACUCUGCAAAUUCCAUCACAAAUUUUGAAAAAAAAAGCCGCAGCAAAAUCCAGAAUUUUUGGCUGCAACAGUCACAAAAAAAACUCCAUGAAAUCCAGUUCGGACUGUGUUCCAAUACAACGAUCUAUAUUCAGUGCCUUGCAAAAGUAUUCAACCCCCUUAAAAGUCAUGAGAUUGGUCUGGAUUAUAAAGGACACUUACACAGAUUGUUCCAGUCAGUAUUUUUACUGCAAACCAAUCUGCUCAUAAAGCACAUUUUCAAAGUCAAAAUUCAUUAUUUGUCAGCAGAGCUUUAAAAACUGAAAAAUGCUGCUUGCGUAAGUAUUCACCCCCCUCCAGACUAGUACUUGGUAGAAGCAGCUUUGGCUGCAGUAACAGCUGUGAGUGUGUUGGGGGUUGGUGAUGUUCCUACCAGCUCUGCACACUGUUUGGAAUUUUCACCCAUUCUUCCUGCCAGAUUUCUUCCAGGUUCUUCAGGUUGGGUGGAUGUACUUUAUUGACUGCAAUUUUUUAAACAGUGCUACAGAUUCCCAAUGGGAUUCAGAUCUGGACUUUGACUUGGCCACUGUAGAACAUUCACCUUUUUGUUUUUAACUGCUCCUACACUGCUUUGGUCUUGUCUUUGGGACCAGUGAUGAAAGGUGAAGUAUCCACCAAGCAUUAGGUUUGUUUGUUUUUUAGCUGACUGAAGCAGGUUCUCUUGUAAUAGAUAUUGAUCCAACAGUGCUUACUGGGAUAUUCAACCAAUUGUGUAUAAUUUUACACCGUAUUCCUAAGUUGUAAAAUUAUAUUAUCUUAUCUUCAACUUCUUUAGAAUGCUCCUUCGCCUUCAUUUUCACUUCAUCUCCACAGUGAACAUCACUUCAGUGUCAGUUCAACUUGGGUGGCUUUUGUUCAGAAAAUAGGAGCUGUUUUAAUAUUUCACAGGUGAAGAUCAAUUAUAAGUCAGUUGUGUCCUCGUUAAGACAAUAUCUUUCAUCUGGAGCUUUGAGAUACUUACUGACCGAUAAUUAAUUUAGACUGAAACUUCACUGUAAGAGAACACGAGUCUGCAAUAAAAAUACUGAGAGGAAGAAUAUUUUCAUUCAUUAUUUGUAAUUCAGACCAAUCUGAUAAAUUCCAGGGGGUUACAUACUUUUGCAAGACACUGUACAUUUAAAUAACAUUGGGAGGAAUUUGCAUAUAUUUACAAAUAUAGUGCACAGAAUUAUCCAAUAUAUUUCUAUUAAAUAAGGAGAGACUUUGGUGUUGAGAAAUAUGAAAGAGGAUUUCCACUGAAAAAUAACAUCAAUGUACAAGUACAAUUCACUUGUAUGGGUCAUUUCUGUCAGGUUUUCAUUAAUCACAUGGUAGACUAUGGAAGUUAUAGCUACACAUGAGAAAAUUAAAAGUGGAAAACAUCACAAAUCAGCACAAUGAUCCAGUACACCAUGGAUUUAUAAUCUUGAGAAUCAUAACUCAAUAACCACAAGCUGUAUUUACCAUACAGUCAAAACACUUUAACUGCAAACAUUAUUUUAAUUCCAAAAAAGUGUAUUAAACUGGACUUUUCCCUGUUACUGGUGUUGAACUAUCCAGAAAACACCUUCAGUACCUUAAUGUGUACCUGUAAAAUGACUCUAAACUCUAAUUAUUAUUAUUAUUUAGGUAGUUAUUAAUGUAAUUGUGUUCUUAAAUCAUUUUAAAAGUAAAGAUGUGAAUACAUUAUGAUGAACCACACUGACAAUGAAAAGUACUGUUUAGUGUUUAUUUGUGUGAGUUUAAUAAAAGGAAAUAAACUA